CAGCCCCGCCCGUCUUCCUGCCGCCAGCCGGGCCAGGCUGUGUCUGCGCCGCGCGCGCGCUCCGGACCCCGGCGCUGCUGGGUCCCCGCCCCCCCCCCCCAGCCUCCCCCGCUGCCAGGCCCUCUGCCCCUGAGCCGGGUGCCGGGUCUCCGAUCCCCGUGCCCUGGCCGAGCUUUUAGCCAGCCCCUCCAGCUCGACCCAAGCCCACUGAGACCAGAGCGGCCACAACCGUCUGGAGCCCCAGUCGGGACCCCAGCCGGGACCCCGCCAGGGCGACGCGAUCUUCUCAGACCAGGCUGCACCGGGUGCCAGGUCCUCCCAGGAGCAGGUGGCUCUGCCUGAGGCCUGAGGCCAGGCACCGGAACCCCACACCUGAUUUGUGACUUCAGAGAGCACCUCUCAGCAGCCGGGGCCGGGCAGAGACCAGAGCAAAGGCCUUUACCGAACGCUGGUUCAAGCACAAGGGAACCACCCGCCGUGUUCACUCCCCAGACACACACUGACGUGCCUGUCCCUGCAGAGGGUCGGGGACUGAGGGCCCGGAGGUUGCUCUCCAGGCUCGCCGCCACGUCCCCCUUGAGGAAGAGCAUGCGUCUGACUUAGAAGGGCCAGCAAAGUGCCCCGGGGGGGCUCACUGGUUUUCACGCAGCCAGCACCCCAGCAAAGGCGCCAGCUCAGCUCACGGGGCCAACCAACCGGACGGCGUCCUUCACAAGAGCAUCUCCGGAGCUUUCUCCUGAGUUGCCGGCAUCUUGAAAAGCCGCUUCAGCAAGAAACCUCCAACAUCCC
Molecule: long non-coding RNA, 789 nt
Organism: Herpailurus yagouaroundi (jaguarundi)
Lineage: Eukaryota; Metazoa; Chordata; Mammalia; Carnivora; Felidae
Exons: 2
Source: RefSeq, a predicted model, not a curated record